UGUUCCUACGGGGCGCAGCAGUGAGGAAUAUUGGUCAAUGGGAGAGAUCCUGAACCAGCCAAGCCGCGUGAGGGAAGACGGCCCUAUGGGUUGUAAACCUCUUUUGUCGGAGAACAAAACCCGGGACGAGUCCCGGACUGCGUGUAUCCGAAGAAAAAGCAUCGGCUAACUCCGUGCCAGCAGCCGCGGUAAUACGGAAGGUCCGGGCGUUAUCCGGAUUUAUUGGGUUUAAAGGGAGCGUAGGCCGGUCUUUAAGCGUGCCGUGAAAUUUUGUGGCUCAACCAUGAGAGUGCGGCGCGAACUGG
This 305-nucleotide ribosomal RNA is filed under the name uncultured bacterium. Its description in RNAcentral is "bacterial SSU rRNA". It matches the Rfam family "Bacterial small subunit ribosomal RNA", at positions 334 to 636 of the family's 1533-position model. The record is from RNAcentral.